GAUCCUGGCUCAGGACGAACGCUGGCGGCGUGCUUAACACAUGCAAGUCGAACGAUGAAGUUAUGACGGAGGCUCCGGCCGACAGAAUAAUGGAAUAGUGGCGGACGGGUGAGUAACGCGUGAGUAACCUGCCUUUCAGAGAGGAAUAACAUUUGGAAACGAAUGGUAAUACCACAUAACAUUACGUUCUCGCAUGGGGAUGUAAUCAAAGAUUUUAUCGCUGAGAGAUGGACUCGCGUCCG
Molecule: ribosomal RNA, 242 nt
Filed under: uncultured bacterium
Lineage: Bacteria
Description: partial 16S ribosomal RNA
Rfam family: Bacterial small subunit ribosomal RNA
Source: RNAcentral